CAGCUGAUGUUUUAUAGUAAGCCAGGUGAGGAACACUGCAGUGAUGUUUUACAGUAAGCCAGGUGAGGAACACUGCAGUGAUGUUUUAUAGUAAGCCAGGUGAGGAACACUGCAGUGAUGUUUUAUAGUAAGCCAGGUGAGGAACACUGCAGUGAUGUUUUACAGUAAGCCAGGUGAGGAACACUGCAGUGAUGUUUUACAGUAAGCCAGGUGAGGAACACUGCAGUGAUGUUUUACAGUAAGCCAGGUGAGGAACACUGCAGUGAUGUUUUACAGUAAGCCCGGUGAGGAACACU
Oncorhynchus keta (chum salmon) is the source of this 296-nucleotide long non-coding RNA. RefSeq lists it as uncharacterized. The record is from RefSeq and is a predicted model, not a curated record. NCBI's taxonomy places the organism in Eukaryota, Metazoa, Chordata, Actinopteri, Salmoniformes, Salmonidae. The transcript has 4 exons.